Molecule: ribosomal RNA, 465 nt
Filed under: uncultured bacterium
Lineage: Bacteria
Description: partial 16S ribosomal RNA
Rfam family: Bacterial small subunit ribosomal RNA
Source: RNAcentral
CCUACGGGAGGUAGCAGUGGGGAAUAUUGCGCAAUGGGCGAAAGCCUGACGCAGCGACGCCGCGUGAGGGAUGAAGGUCUUCGGAUCGUAAACCUCCGUCAGCAGGGAAGAACGGUCACUGUGCUAAUCAGCAGUGAAUUGACGGUACCUGCAAAGGAAGCACCGGCUAACUCCGUGCCAGCAGCCGCGGUAAUACGGAGGGUGCGAGCGUUAAUCGGAAUUACUGGGCGUAAAGCGCUCGUAGGCGGUAUGUCAAGUCAAGGGUGAAAUCCCCGGGCUCAACGUGGGAACUGCCUUUGAAACUAGGUAACUUGAGUGUGUGAGAGGAUAGUGGAAUUCCAGGUGUAGCAGUGAAAUCCGUAGAUAUCUGGAGGAACAUCAGUGGCGAAGGCGACUAUCUGGCACAUAACUGACGCUGAGGAGCGAAAGCGUGGGUAGCAAACAGGAUUAGAUACCCGUGUAGUC